GCUUCCGCUCCAAAAUCCCAAAGGCGGACGGUGCCGUCCCACUGCCGGACCCACGGCGCCCCAUAGGGAAACGUGGCGACCCAUAGGGACCCACAGGGACCCAUAGGGACCCAUAGACCCCAUAGAUCCCAUAGAGACCCCAUACAGACCCAUAGUGACCCACACAUCCCAUUGAGACCCAUAGGGACCCACAGAUCCCAUAGAGACCACAGAGGGACCCAUAGAAACCCCAUAGAGACCCAUAGGGACACAUAGGGACCCACAGAUCCCAUAGAGACCCCAUAGAUCCCAUACAGCCCCAUAGAGACCCACAGAGACCCAUAGGGACCCACAGAUCCCAUAGAGACCCACAGAGCCCCAUAAAGACCCACAGGGACCCUUAGAGCCCCAUAGAGACCCUAUAAAGACCCACAGAUCCCAUAGAGCCCCAUAGAGACUCACAGAUCCCAUAGAGACCCCAUAGAGACCCCAUAGAGCUCCAUAGAGCCCCAUAGAGACCCACAGAGACCCAUAGGGACCCAUAGAGACCCAUAGGGACCCACAGAUCCCAUAGAGACCCAUAGGGAUCCCAUACAGCCCCAUAGGGACCCAUAGAGCCCCAUACAGACCCACAGGGCCCCAUAGAGACCCAUAGAGACCCAUAGAUCCCAUAAAGACCCCAUAGAGACCCAUAGGGACCCAUAGAUCCCAUAGAGACCCCAUACAGACCCAUAGGGACCCACAGAGACCCACAGAUCCCAUAGGGACCCAUAGGGACCCACAGAGACCCAUAGAGACCCAUAGAGACCCGUAGAUCCCAUAGAGCCCCACAGGGACCCCAUAGAGACCCACAGAUCCCAUAGAGAGCCCAUAGAGAGCCCAUAGAGCCCCAUAGAUCCCAUAAAGACCCAUAGAGAAGGAUAGGGACCCAUAGGGACACCAAAAAAACCCCACAGAGACCCAUAAAGAUCCAUAGGGACCCAUAGGGACCCAUAGGAACCCAUAAAACCCCAUAGAGACCCAUAGAGACCCACAGAUCCCAUAGAGCCCCAUAGAGACCCCAUAGGGACCCAUAGAUGCCAUAGAGACCCAUAGAUCCCAUAGGGACCCAUAGAGACCCCAUAGGCCCCAUAGAGACCCAUAGGAACACCAAAAAAACCCCAUAGAGACCCAUAAAGAUCCAUAGGGACACAUAGGGACCCAUAGGAACCCAUAAAACCCCAUAGAGACCCAUAGGGACCCCAUAGAGACCCACGGAGACCCACAGGGACCCAUAGGGACACCAAAAAAAACCCAUACAGACCCAUAGAGACCCCAUAGAUUCAAUAAAGACCCCAUAGGGACCCA
This 1326-nucleotide long non-coding RNA is filed under the name Phasianus colchicus (ring-necked pheasant). Its description in RNAcentral is "lncRNA (ENSPCLG00000016689.1)". Lineage: Eukaryota; Metazoa; Chordata; Aves; Galliformes; Phasianidae. The record is from RNAcentral.